This is a long non-coding RNA of Dioscorea cayenensis subsp. rotundata (Guinea yam), 1223 nucleotides long. RefSeq lists it as uncharacterized. Lineage: Eukaryota; Viridiplantae; Streptophyta; Magnoliopsida; Dioscoreales; Dioscoreaceae. The transcript is spliced from 3 exons. The record is from RefSeq and is a predicted model, not a curated record.
AGCGUUGCCCAAGGCCCAUUUACCAGCUUAAUCAGCUCAAAAACCUUAUAGAUGCCUGUACUUGAUGAUCGGUCUCCACGAAAAGGGUGGGUUGAGCGGUCUUCAAACUUCGUUGUCCUUCGCUGGCGAUCUCUUCCUCUGAUUCUAAUCUAAGUAGAGGCUUGGUCUUCAAGCUGCAACAGUUGAUUAUGGAUGUGGUAGAUGCUUGACUACAUACCGUAUGUUACCUGAGAAGGUUCUUUCUGGCUAGAAGAAUACAAGAUCUUUUCCAAACUUGGAAUGGGCAUGAUGCGUUGUUCCUUGAUAUUUGGUACAUAAAAAUAUUUUAAAAUUUUUAUGGUUAGCAUUUACAGUGCAUCUUAUUUUUAUGUUUUCCAAUUAAAAUAUACAAUAAUUUGAGAACAAGGUUUCCAAAUUUUAGAUCUCCUAUGGUAUGUAAGUUUUACCCAAUUAGAAUUUGUUUUUAUAAUAUUUAAAUUCGUUGUUCGAAUUCCAGCUUGUGAGCUAUAGCUAUUGAUUCAUUUAAAACUUGCGCCAUGUAAUAUUUCAAUAUUUUAAGGUUUUGAAAAUAUAGGUUUCUCUGCAUCUUUCAUUUGUUUAAGUUCAUUGAUUUAUCUAUAAGUGAUUAAUAAGCUAUUAACCAAGUUAAUGGCUGUCCUCUCUACUUUUGCAUGGGAUGUAAUGCUCCUAGUCAAGUGACAUACCACCAGUUUUUCAGUUGCAACCUUCGUUAUUCAUCUUGCAUGAGUCAUUUUUUCAUGUUCUUUAAUCACAUGGUUGGUGAAGAAACCGGUAUUGGCAGCAUUAAGAGCUAAUUCGUGAACAGGAGUCAAACCUUUUCUUGCAAAUAGACUUUCCUCAUUUCUUCCAUAUUAUUAGUUUAUUUCAUGCUUCUCAUCAGUUUUAUUUGAUUUCAUUAACUAUGUAAUCUAUGCAGUUUGUUGAUUUAUUCAUCUUGCAUGAGUUAUUUUUUCAUUUGUAAGUCAUCUUUAAUCACAUGGUUGGUGAAGAAACUGGUAUUGGCAGCAUUCACAGCUGAUUCGUGAACAGAGGGCAAACCUUUCUUGUAAACAGAUUUUCCUCAUUUUUUCCAUAUUAUUAGUUUAUUUCAUGCUAGUCAUCAAUUUUAUUUGAUUUCAUUAACCAUGUAAUCUAUACAGUUUGUUGAUUUUAUUUUACUUGCCAUUAAUGAUAUACAUUACACGUCUCUAUAUCACCUUUUG